This 252-nucleotide ribosomal RNA is filed under the name uncultured bacterium. RNAcentral's name for it is "partial 16S ribosomal RNA". It matches the Rfam family "Bacterial small subunit ribosomal RNA", at positions 524 to 775 of the family's 1533-position model. The record is from RNAcentral.
UACGUAGGGUGCGAGCGUUAAUCGGAAUUACUGGGCGUAAAGCGUGCGCAGGCGGUUUUGUAAGUCUGUCGUGAAAUCCCCGGGCUCAACCUGGGAAUUGCGAUGGAGACUGCAAGGCUAGAAUCUGGCAGAGGGGGUAGAAUUCCACGUGUGAGCAGUGAAAUGCGUAGAGAUGUGGAGGAACACCGAUGGCGAAGGCAGCCCCCUGGGUCAAGAUUGACGCUCAUGCACGAAAGCGUGGGGAGCAACAGG